ACUUAUUUAAUAGAGUUUUCAAAUGAUCAUUUUAAUAAAAUUUUACUAACAAAUUCAUUUUCGUAAUAAUUUACAGAUAUUAUUCCAGAAUAAUAUAUUAUUGUAGUUCAUACAAGCUUAAAGAAGCUGCACCUAAACCUGAAUUAUUGAAAUUUUUCAUUAAAAAAUAAUCAAAAAUUAAUUUUAAACGGCGGUAUACAAACUAGUUUUAAGAAAAAUUAAGUGUGAAAAAUCAUAAAUGUACAAACUCCUUUGAAAAAUUAAAUACCGUCAAGUUUAUUAAUUUUAAUAAGUAUUAAUUUAUAAAUAUUAUUGUAGAAAAAAAUAAUAGGGUAUCUAAUCCUAGUUUA
This 350-nucleotide ribosomal RNA is filed under the name Eoperipatus sp. LH-2012. RNAcentral's name for it is "partial 12S ribosomal RNA". The record is from RNAcentral. Lineage: Eukaryota; Metazoa; Onychophora; Udeonychophora; Euonychophora; Peripatidae.